This 508-nucleotide ribosomal RNA is filed under the name uncultured bacterium. RNAcentral's name for it is "partial 16S ribosomal RNA". It matches the Rfam family "Bacterial small subunit ribosomal RNA", at positions 28 to 523 of the family's 1533-position model. The record is from RNAcentral.
GAUGAACGCUAGCUACAGGCUUAACACAUGCAAGUCGAGGGGAAACGAUAGGGAAAGCUUGCUUUUUCUAGGCGUCGACCGGCGCACGGGUGAGUAACGCGUAUCCAACCUGCCCAUCACUUGGGGAUAACCUUGCGAAAGUAAGACUAAUACCCAAUGACGUCUCUAGAAGACAUCUGAAGGAGAUUAAAGAUUUAUCGGUGAUGGAUGGGGAUGCGUCUGAUUAGCUUGUUGGCGGGGUAACGGCCCACCAAGGCGACGAUCAGUAGGGGUUCUGGGAGGAAGGUCCCCCACAUUGGAACUGAGACACGUUCCAAACUCCUACGGGAGGCAGCAGUGAGGAAUAUUGGUCAAUGGACGAGAGUCUGAACCAGCCAAGUAGCGUGCAGGAAGACGGCCCUAUGGGUUGUAAACUGCUUUUAUAAGGGAAUAAAGUGAGUCUCGUGAGACUUCUUGCAUGUACCUUAUGAAUAAGGACCGGCUAAUUCCGUGCCAGCCGCCGCCGUAA